RNAcentral lists this ribosomal RNA (373 nucleotides) under uncultured bacterium. Its description in RNAcentral is "bacterial SSU rRNA". It matches the Rfam family "Bacterial small subunit ribosomal RNA", at positions 525 to 896 of the family's 1533-position model. The record is from RNAcentral.
ACGAGUGCCUCAAGCGUUAUCCGGAAUUACUGGGCGUAAAGCGUGCGCAGGCGGUUUCGUAAGACAGAUGUGAAAUCCCCGGGCUUAACCUGGGAACUGCAUUUGUGACUGCGAGACUAGAGUGCGGCAGAGGGGGGUAGAAUUCCACGUGUAGCAGUGAAAUGCGUAGAUAUGUGGAGGAAUACCGAUGGCGAAGGCAGCCCCCUGGGUCGACACUGACGCUCAUGCACGAAAGCGUGGGGAGCAAACAGGAUUAGAUACCCUGGUAGUCCACGCCCUAAACGAUGUCAACUAGGUGUUGGGGGAGGAGACUUCCUUAGUACCGCAGCUAACGCGUGAAGUUGACCGCCUGGGGAGUACGGCCGCAAGGUUG